RNAcentral lists this ribosomal RNA (368 nucleotides) under uncultured organism. Its description in RNAcentral is "bacterial SSU rRNA". It matches the Rfam family "Bacterial small subunit ribosomal RNA", at positions 526 to 896 of the family's 1533-position model. The record is from RNAcentral.
CGGAGGGUGCAAGCGUUAUCCGGAUUUACUGGGUUUAAAGGGUGUGUAGGCGGGCUGUUAAGUCAGUGGUGAAAUCUCCGAGCUCAACUUGGAAACUGCCAUUGAUACUAAUAGUCUUGAAUCUUGUUGAGGUUGGCGGAAUAUGUCAUGUAGCGGUGAAAUGCAUAGAUAUGACAUAGAACUCCGAUUGCGAAGGCAGCUAACUAAGCAAGUAUUGGCGCUGAGGCACGAAAGCGUGGGGAUCAAACAGGAUUAGAUACCCUGGUAGUCCACGCCCUAAACGAUGAUUACUCGACAUACGCGAUACACAGUGUGUGUCUGAGCGAAAGCAUUAAGUAAUCCACCUGGGAAGUACGACCGCAAGGUUG